AAGAAAAAAAAAAAAAUGUAUUUUCUGUAAGCCAAAUCCCAUGACAUCAGCCCUAGAGUGUGUUUGGAGAGACCCAUUUAUUUACUUACUUUUUAGUCACUUCCUGUUCAUUCUGUUGGUGAGGGAAAGACAUCUGCCCUAGGGUUAUCAUGGUGGCUCUGAAUACAGGAUGCGUGACACAGGACGGAUGAAAUGAGCUGCAGUUUAUGAGUCACCUAUACUCAUCACCUAAGAGGAUGACACUGCUUGCCUCGCAAGGCCACAUGGCAGUCGCAAUUGGGAACAGAACAGUAAGGGGCUGUGGGAGCCAGACUUCAUAGUAUCAAAAGGGUGAGGUGCCCCCUGCUCUCCUGGUCCCCGACACAAUUGGCAUUGGCUUGUUUGAAUGAUCCCAUGAGUGGACAGAGGACUGAAAAUGCACAAGUACUCAGGAAUGAGCAGGAACUUCCCAUCAUCCCUCUGCGGAGGAGGGUUGCUGGCUAGGGGAUCUUACCCACAGAAGCAGAGUCGGGAGGGGAACUUGGGAAAAGGCCAUUUGAGGUCCUCCUGAUUUUAAUCUCAAGCCUUCCUUUUACGCCUUAACAGCACACCUGCAACAUAAGGAAAUCCAUGUUGUAGAAUCAUGUUAUAUUGAGAUUUUGUGGAAUUUGUGGUAGCCGAAUCGUUAUGCUGGAGGAGGGAGGGGAGGGCAUCAGGUAUGCUUUUGGAGUCUUAUUGGAGUGACUCCUGGGAAAGGUAAUUUAUGUACUUUCUGCAUACACCGGUUCAAGAAAGCCACCAAAAUGAAGGGUCAUGUAAGUGCUUCCUAGUGCUUUUGUGCUGUAUUGAAAUGGCAUCUGCUCUGUAAGCCUAUCUUCUUUCUCUCACUGAGGAGAAUGUAGGGAAUCCCUAGCCACUGAUGAGAUAUCGAGCCAGCUCUGUGGCUGGUAACACUCAUCAUUUGCUCUCAUCGUGACUCCAGAAACAGGAGUCCCGGUUUCACUCUUGGCUGAGUGUCAUUCAGCAUCCCAGCAGGUAGCACAUGCCACCAUCCAGCAGAGCCCUUGAAAAGCAUUUGAUGGGGGAUGUCGUCAGAUAGAGAAACCACGCCAGUUAUUUUACAGAGAGAAUUUAAUGUCAGGAUGUGUUUAACCGGGUAGCUGAAAGAGUAAAAGUUGGACACUAAAUAAUCACAGAGGAUAAAUCAGCUGUAUGAAGUGGUGUUGAGAGAAGAACUAAAGGCAACAGUUGGAAUUUUAAAACAUUAAAGAUUAGAGAAGGGACCUCACAGGGCAGGAACCAGAUCUCCGAGGAGGGGGGCUCCCCGGCUGGUGCUGAUGGCUCUUGAGGGGGUGUGAUGAGGCUGGCUCUGCAAGUUUGGAAAAACAAACUGGAUUCUAUUUUUGCUGCUACUGGAACAAAAUGCCACUGCCAGGGUGAAAAAGAGAAGCUGCCAUGAGGCUGAUAGGAACAGGAGACAAAAACAAGGGUGACAAUUUCCUCUUCUUCCUCCAGGCUCACAUCUGCCUCAGCACAGAAUGAAUGGCCAACAAAUAGCUCUGGGACUCGCUGACAUGCAAACCAGGCCCUGUGUCACAAAGCAGCAGAGAGGGGGCUGGAGCUGGGGUGGGGGUGAGUUUUGACAAGAGCUUUAGAAGCAACACAGGAGUACUUAUAAUGGUGGGGACAGCAUCAAGGAACCCAACUAGGUUGUGAAGAGUCUCAGGGAAGGCAUCAGUGGGAGUUUCUUUUUUUUUUUUUUUCUUUUUUUUUUUGUGUGUCAUUUUAGGGCUGCACCUGUGGCACAUGGAGUUUCCCAGGCUCAGGUUUGAAUCAGAGUUAUAGCUGCUGGCCUAAGCCACAGCCACAGCAAUGGCAGGUUGGAGCCAUGUCUGUGACCUACACCACAGCUCAUGGCAAUGCCGAAUCCUUAACUCACUGAGAGAGGCCAGGCAUCAAACCUGUGUCCUCAUGGAUGCUAGUCAGAUUCAUUUCCACUGAGACACGAUGGGAACUCCAUAUACAGACUUCAUUUUAUUUUAUUGAAGUAUAGUUGAUUUACAGUGUUGUGUUAGUUUUAAGUGGACAGCAAAGUGAUUCAGAUAUCUAUGUCUAUGUCUGUAUCUAUGUCUAUGUCUAUAUCUAUAUCUAUAGAGGGAGAGAGAUGUUCUUUUUCAUGUCUUUUCCCUUUAGGUUAUUACAAAACAUUGAGUUUAGUUCCUUGUGCUCUACAGUAGCUCCUUGUUGGUUACCUUAUGUAUAUGUGUGUAUAUAUAUAUAGAGUAUAUUUUGUAUAUGUUAAUCCUAAAUUGCUAAUUUAUCCCCCCCUUUCUCCUCUGGUAACCAUAAGUUUGAUUCCUAUGUCUGUGGGUCUAUUUUUAUUUCAUAUAUAAGUUCAUUGCAUCAUUUUUCUAGAUUCCACUAAAAUGGAUAUCAUAUAUUUGACUUUCUCUUACUUCACUUAGUAUGAUAAUCUCCAGGUCCAUCCUUGUUGCUACAAAUGGCAUCAUUUCACUCAUUUUUAUGGCUGACUAAUAUUCCACUGUGUGUGUGUACCACAUCUUCUUUAGCCAGUCCUCUGUUGAUGGACAUUUAGGUGGCUUCCAUGUCUUGUCUUUUGUAAACAGUGCUGCAUUGAACAUUGGGGAGCAUGUAUCUUUUUGAAUUAUGGUUUUCUUUGGAUGUAUGCCCAGGAGUAGGGUUGCUGGAUCAUAUGGUAGCUCUUAUACAUAUUUUAAAGUUAUAUGUGAAGCAAACAAACUGUGAAAUAAAAUACAUUCUGUCCUCUUGAAAAUAUUGUUUCAAGAUAACCUGGAAGCUGGCUUUGAAUUUAUAAUCUUGGAGUUCUCUUGGAAAUUUGUGAGGUAGGGAUGUCCUGCAGUCCUGGCCUCUCAGCCUUCAGCCUGUGCCCUCACUUUGCUUCCCACCCCCAGCUCUGAGUACCCCUCUCCCAUGAAGGGAUUGCACAUACAUGAGUCUGGACAACCCUACCCACAUAUCCUUGCUCACUUUAUUCCCUCAUAAACAACUGAACCUUAACCACCCCUAGAAACUAUGAUUGAAAAAACUGAGUAUGUGAUGGACCCAGAUAGAAAGCCAAUGGACAGAACCUGUAACUAGGCUUUGAGCCAUUUGCGCAGCAGUCAUGGAGUCCCUAGUACGUGGCUCCUGAUGGAGAAGAGGGCAGUGCGUGAACUCCAGGUGUCAGGGCACCUUGGACCUAAGGGACAAGGAGAGGGGAUGAGGAGGUUAUGGCCAGGAGGGCAACUCAAAACACUCCAAAGCACAACCCCUAUGGCGGUGCUGGAAGCUUUAUCGCCAGUAGGCAAAGUGGGACAAGGAAAGAGGGUAGUCGCCAGAACAUCAGAGAUUCAUUGUAGGAGGGGCUUAUCUGACAGAGGCUGUGGCCUUCCGGAGAGGACUGCAGCCGUGGACCCCCAACCAACCCUCUUCCUAGUAGGGAAGUAAGCAGGAUAUAAAUACCCGCAUCUCCUCUGUUCUCCCCUCAUUAUCUCCUAUUGGCUGAACCCAACUGGAAGCCAAAGGGCAAGAGAUUCCAGACAAUGUAGCCCACCCAGCUCAACCUCCUGGGCACCAAGAGAGAUGGAGAGAGGCAGAUAGGUGCCUGGAGGGGCGAGUGGAAGCAACACAGUACAUCUAGUCUUCCAGUCUCUCUAAUCUUUCUUCCUAUAUGCUUGGCCCCAACUGUGUAUGGUUGGAUGCCCUACAUCUCCCACUCUGUCUGCCCUGCUGAUUUGCAUCCAUCAUCCAUCACCAACAUCUCCUGAUGUCAACCUUGUGUGACCCCAGAGAGCCCAGCCUAGUCACAAUAUAGUCAGGGGUCAAAUUUCCUGCCCUAAACAUACUGUGGAAGAGAAGAGAGAUGGGUAACAGUUUGGUAUUAAGACCAGGUGACCCUGAAACAGUCCUGUGUGCUAAGCACAGAGGAAUUACUCAAGGAAUAACAAUUAUCCAGGGAAGGAGGCUGUUCGUGCUGAACAUAUACCACUGCCCCUUGUCCUACCAACUGGAAGGAAGCACAUUUUUCUCGGGUCUCUUAGUCUCCUUAUUAGUUCUGAUUUUCAUUCAUACUUUUGUCUUAACCUUUUUGUUUGGAUGACCUCCUUUUUUAUAACCUUUCCCAAAUCCUUUUGAGAAAGAAGUAGCAUAUAAAAGUAUAUAAUAGUAGCAGGGAGUGAAUAGUAAUACAGGGCACUGCUUCUCAGUGACCUCAUGGCCAUGGAUUCAUAGAAGCAUCAUCCUUAUAAAAAGAUGGGGAUUUCUGGUCCAAAUUCCAGGUGUCUGGGAUUUGGCCCUAAGGUGAUUCUCAAGAGUCAACCACUGAUCUUGAGAGUCAACCACUGAUGACAUGGUUAAGAGUGGAUGACAUGCUUAAGUCUGAGAUCUAAGGAAGGUUUCUUCACCUCUCUGAGCCUUACUUUCUUAUUUGUAAAAAAAAAAGUGGAGUUCCCGUCGUGGCGCAGUGGUUAACGAAUCCGACUAGGAACCAUGAGGUUGCGGGUUCGGUCCCUGCCCUUGCUCAGUGGGUUAACGAUCCGGCGUUGCCGUGAGCUGUGGUGUAGGUUGCAGACGCGGCUCGGAUCCUGUGUUGCUGUGGCUCUGGCGUAGGCUGGUGGCUACAGCUCCGAUUCAACCCCUAGCCUGGGAACCUCCAUAUGCCGUGGGAGUGGCCCAAGAAAUAGCAACAACAACAACAA
RNAcentral lists this long non-coding RNA (4697 nucleotides) under Sus scrofa (pig). RNAcentral's name for it is "lncRNA (ENSSSCG00000059670.1)". The record is from RNAcentral. Lineage: Eukaryota; Metazoa; Chordata; Mammalia; Artiodactyla; Suidae.